RNAcentral lists this ribosomal RNA (233 nucleotides) under uncultured bacterium. RNAcentral's name for it is "partial 16S ribosomal RNA". It matches the Rfam family "Bacterial small subunit ribosomal RNA", at positions 100 to 334 of the family's 1533-position model. The record is from RNAcentral.
CGGAACGGGUGAGUAAUACAUCGGAACGUGCCCAGACGUGGGGGAUAACGAGGCGAAAGCUUUGCUAAUACCGCAUACGAUCUAAGGAUGAAAGCAGGGGACCGCAAGGCCUUGCGCGUUUGGAGCGGCCGAUGGCAGAUUAGGUAGUUGGUGGGACAAAAGCUUACCAAGCCGACGAUCUGUAGCUGGUCUGAGAGGACGACCAGCCACACUGGGACUGAGACACGGCCCAG